RNAcentral lists this microRNA (22 nucleotides) under Drosophila mojavensis. RNAcentral's name for it is "Dmo-Novel-12_3p* (star (passenger))". The record is from RNAcentral. Lineage: Eukaryota; Metazoa; Arthropoda; Insecta; Diptera; Drosophilidae.
UAAACUGGUAGUAUUAUAUUAA